CCUACGGGAGGCAGCAGUGGGGAAUUUUCCGCAAUGGGCGAAAGCCUGACGGAGCAAUACCGCGUGAGGAAAGACUGCCUAUGGGUUGUAAACCUCUUUUUUCAGGGAGGAAUAAAUGACGUGUACCUGAAGAAUAAGCAUCGGCUAACUCCGUGCCAGCAGCCGCGGUAAGACGGAGGAUGCAAGUGUUAUCCGGAAUCACUGGGCGUAAAGCGUCUGUAGGUGGUUUAAUAAGUCAACUGUUAAAUCUUGAGGCUCAACUUCAAAAUCGCAGUCGAAACUAUUAGACUAGAGUAUAGUAGAGGUAAAGGGAAUUUCCAGUGGAGCGGUGAAAUGCGUAGAUAUUGGAAAGAACACCGAUGGCGAAAGCACUUUACUGGGCUAUUACUAACACUCAGAGACGAAAGCUAGGGUAGCAAAUGGGAUUAGAUACCCCAGUAGUCCUAGCCGUAAACUAUGGAUACUAGAUGUUGAACAGAUCGACCUGUGCAGUAUCAAAGCUAACGCGUUAAGUAUCCCGCCUGGGAAGUAUGCUCGCAAGAGUGAAACUCAAAGAAUGACGG
RNAcentral lists this ribosomal RNA (563 nucleotides) under uncultured bacterium. RNAcentral describes it as "bacterial SSU rRNA". It matches the Rfam family "Bacterial small subunit ribosomal RNA", at positions 338 to 916 of the family's 1533-position model. The record is from RNAcentral.